Molecule: ribosomal RNA, 274 nt
Filed under: uncultured bacterium
Lineage: Bacteria
Description: partial 16S ribosomal RNA
Rfam family: Bacterial small subunit ribosomal RNA
Source: RNAcentral
AUACGGAGGGUGCAAGCGUUAAUCGGAAUUACUGGGCGUAAAGCGUUCGUAGGCGGUUCGUUAAGUUAGAUGUGAAAGCCCCGGGCUUAACCUGGGAACUGCAUUUAAAACUGGCGAACUAGAGUUGAGUAGAGGGGAGUGGAAUUUCAGGUGUAGCGGUGAAAUGCGUAGAGAUCUGAAGGAACACCAGUGGCGAAGGCGACUCCCUGGACUCGAACUGACGCUGAGGUACGAAAGCGUGGGUAGCAAACGGGAUUAGAUACCCCUGUAGUCC